This 355-nucleotide ribosomal RNA is filed under the name uncultured bacterium. Its description in RNAcentral is "bacterial SSU rRNA". It matches the Rfam family "Bacterial small subunit ribosomal RNA", at positions 527 to 881 of the family's 1533-position model. The record is from RNAcentral.
GGAGGGUGCAAGCGUUAAUCGGAAUUACUGGGCGUAAAGCGCACGCAGGCGGUUUGUUAAGUCAGAUGUGAAAUCCCCGGGCUCAACCUGGGAACUGCAUCUGAUACUGGCAAGCUUGAGUCUCGUAGAGGGGGGUAGAAUUCCAGGUGUAGCGGUGAAAUGCGUAGAGAUCUGGAGGAAUACCGGUGGCGAAGGCGGCCCCCUGGACGAAGACUGACGCUCAGGUGCGAAAGCGUGGGGAGCAAACAGGAUUAGAUACCCUGGUAGUCCACGCCGUAAACGAUGAUAACUAGCUGUCAGGGCACUUGGUGCUUUGGUGGCGCANCUAACGCAUUAAGUUAUCCGCCUGGGGAGU